Molecule: ribosomal RNA, 312 nt
Filed under: Triticum aestivum (bread wheat)
Lineage: Eukaryota; Viridiplantae; Streptophyta; Magnoliopsida; Poales; Poaceae
Description: partial small subunit ribosomal RNA
Source: RNAcentral
AUGCCUCCCCUUACCUCAGGAAAGUGGACCUCAAGAUGUAUUCUAGCCACUAAAACCUCCACUGGCCUUUGCAGCUGGAUGCUCGGCGGAGCACACGCUGCCCUGUCCAGUGAGGAUAUUCCUGCGCUCGCACCGAGAGGAAACAAAACUUUACUAUUAAUUGUUGAACGAGACCAUGAGCAAUGCAGCCUCGACCAUUACAUGUUUGCCUGCGAUUUUCAAACUGAUGAAUUUGGAGCAGAGACACUGAUGAUGUACACAUACCAAUCACCAGCUUUCCGUUGCUUUUCUCAAUUUGAUCCAUGCACGUAG